GAAGCUUCGGCAAUGGGCGAAAGCCUGAAGGAGCGACGCCGCGUGGGGGAUGAAGGGUUUCGAUCCGUAAACCCCUGUCAUUUGUGAACAAUGGUUAUUAUUUAAAAGAUGAUGACUUGAUAGUAAUGAAAGAGGAAGGGACGGCUAACUCUGUGCCAGCAGCCGCGGUAAUACAGAGGUCCCGAGCGUUGUUCGGAUUCACUGGGCGUAAAGGGUGCGUAGGUGGCGAUGGAAGUUUGAUGUGAAAUCUCCGGGCUCAACCCGGAAAUGGCAUUGAAUACUCUAGCGCUUGAGGUUUGGAGGGGGGACUGGAAUUCUCGGUGUAGCAGUGAAAUGCGUAGAUAUCGAGAGGAACACCAGUGGCGAAGGCGGGUCCCUGGACAACACCUGACACUGAGGCACGAAAGCUAGGGGAGCAAACAG
This 423-nucleotide ribosomal RNA is filed under the name uncultured bacterium. Its description in RNAcentral is "bacterial SSU rRNA". It matches the Rfam family "Bacterial small subunit ribosomal RNA", at positions 359 to 775 of the family's 1533-position model. The record is from RNAcentral.